GGAUGUGAGGGUGAUCUGGGACAUUCAUCACCCUACAGAUCACCAUGGUUGCCAGAGCUGAUAUGGCUUGCUAGCAGAGUGUGCACUACCUCCUUCAUCACCCAAUGUACCUUUCUCCCAAAGUUAUAGAUUUUACCCAAUACAGAAAGAGGACAGUUCUUCCAUUGAAGUUAUAGAAGCAUCUGUACUCCCCUCAUAAUCACUCCAAGAAAUGCAGAAAAAAGCAAAAUCAGACAAAUGAAACUAUAUGAAAAAAAAUACCUUUACAGUAAAAUAAGCCAUU
Non-coding RNA from Cricetulus griseus (Chinese hamster), 283 nucleotides. Lineage: Eukaryota; Metazoa; Chordata; Mammalia; Rodentia; Cricetidae. The record is from Rfam.